AACGACUCUCGGCAACGGAUAUCUUGGCUCUCGCAUCGAUGAAGAACGUAGCGAAAUGCGAUACUUGGUGUGAAUUGCAGAAUCCCGUGAACCAUCGAGUUUUUGAACGCAAGUUGCGCCCCAAGCCGUUAGGCUGAGGGCACGUCUGCCUGGGUGUCA
This 159-nucleotide ribosomal RNA is filed under the name Limnanthes alba subsp. versicolor. RNAcentral describes it as "5.8 ribosomal RNA". It matches the Rfam family "5.8S ribosomal RNA". From Rfam's summary of the family: 5.8S ribosomal RNA (5.8S rRNA) is a component of the large subunit of the eukaryotic ribosome. RNAcentral also lists the same sequence under 4 other names. Lineage: Eukaryota; Viridiplantae; Streptophyta; Magnoliopsida; Brassicales; Limnanthaceae. The record is from RNAcentral.